This 901-nucleotide ribosomal RNA is filed under the name uncultured Pseudomonadota bacterium. RNAcentral's name for it is "bacterial SSU rRNA". It matches the Rfam family "Bacterial small subunit ribosomal RNA", at positions 67 to 965 of the family's 1533-position model. Lineage: Bacteria; Pseudomonadati; Pseudomonadota. The record is from RNAcentral.
CGAAAGUCCUUCGGGAUGAGUAAAGUGGCGCACGGGUGAGUAAUACAUGAGAACAUGCCCUCGGAUGGGGAAUAACGUUUGGAAACGAACGCUAAUACCGCAUAAUCUCGAAAGAGUAAAGGUGGCGCCGCAAGGGCUACCGUCCAAGGAUUGGCUCAUGUCCCAUUAGCUAGUUGGCGGGGUAAUGGCCCACCAAGGCAACGAUGGGUAACUGGUCUGAGAGGAUGAUCAGUCACACUGGAACUGAGACACGGUCCAGACUCCUACGGGAGGCAGCAGUAGGGAAUAUUGCACAAUGGGGGAAACCCUGAUGCAGCAACGCCGCGUGAGUGAAGAAGGCCCUUGGGUUGUAAAGCUCUUUAGCGAGGGAAGAAGGUAGAUACGGUGAAUAAUCGUGUUUGCUGACGGUACCUCGAGAAUAAGCACCGGCUAAUUUCGUGCCAGCAGCCGCGGUAAUACGAAAGGUGCAAGCGUUACUCGGAAUCACUGGGCGUAAAGCGCACGUAGGCGGACUCGUAGGUCAGUUGUGAAAUACCUGGGCUCAACCCGGGAACUGCAGCUGAAACCGCUUGUCUUGAAUACCUGAGAGGGUGGGGGAAUACCUGGUUGGAGAAGUGAAAUUCGUAGAGAUCAGGUGGAACACCGGAAGGCGAAGGCGCCUGCCUGGCAGUGUAUUGACGCUGAGGUGCGAAAGUGCGGGGAGCAAACAGGAUUAGAUACCCUGGUAGUCCGCACCGUAAACGAUGGAUACUAGGCGUUCGGAGAGUUAACCCUCUGAGUGCCAAAGUUCACACAUUAAGUAUCCCGCCUGGGAAGUACGGUCGCAAGACUAAAACUCAAAGGAAUUGACGGGGGCCCGCACAAGCGGUGGAANAAGGGGGUUUAAUUCGAAGCACGCGCA